This 253-nucleotide ribosomal RNA is filed under the name uncultured bacterium. Its description in RNAcentral is "partial 16S ribosomal RNA". It matches the Rfam family "Bacterial small subunit ribosomal RNA", at positions 524 to 776 of the family's 1533-position model. The record is from RNAcentral.
UACGGGGGGAGCAAGCGUUGUUCGGAUUUACUGGGCGUAAAGGGCGCGUAGGCGGCGCGACAAGUCACUUGUGAAAUCUCCGGGCUUAACCCGGAGCGGCCAAGUGAUACUGUAGUGCUAGAGUGCGGAAGGGGCUACUGGAAUUCUCGGUGUAGCGGUGAAAUGCGCAGAUAUCGGGAGGAACACCGGUGGCGAAGGCGGUUCUCUGGGCCUGUUCUGACGCUGAGGAGCGAAAGCGUGGGGAGCGAACAGG